This 449-nucleotide ribosomal RNA is filed under the name uncultured bacterium. RNAcentral describes it as "bacterial SSU rRNA". It matches the Rfam family "Bacterial small subunit ribosomal RNA", at positions 330 to 793 of the family's 1533-position model. The record is from RNAcentral.
GCCAGACUCCUACGGGAGGCAGCAGUGGGGAAUAUUGCACAAUGGGCGAAAGCCUGAUGCAGCAACGCCGCGUGAAGGAAGAAGGGUUUCGGCUCGUAAACUUCUAUCAACAGGGACGAAAGAAAUGACGGUACCUGAAUAAGAAGCCCCGGCUAACUACGUGCCAGCAGCCGCGGUAAUACGUAGGGGGCAAGCGUUAUCCGGAUUCACUGGGCGUAAAGGGAGCGCAGGCGGCACGGCAAGUCUGAUGUGAAAACCCAGGGCUCAACUCUGGGACUGCAUUGGAAACUGCCGGGCUGGAGUGUCGGAGGGGUAAGCGGAAUUCCUAGUGUAGCGGUGAAAUGCGUAGAUAUUAGGAGGAACACCAGUGGCGAAGGCGGCUUACUGGACGACUACUGACGCUGAGGCUCGAAAGCGUGGGGAGCAAACAGGAUUAGAUACCCCAGUAA